Molecule: ribosomal RNA, 1162 nt
Filed under: Staphylococcus aureus R0487
Lineage: Bacteria; Bacillati; Bacillota; Bacilli; Caryophanales; Staphylococcaceae
Description: bacterial SSU rRNA
Rfam family: Bacterial small subunit ribosomal RNA
Source: RNAcentral
AGAGUUUGAUCCUGGCUCAGGAUGAACGCUGGCGGCGUGCCUAAUACAUGCAAGUCGAGCGAACGGACGAGAAGCUUGCUUCUCUGAUGUUAGCGGCGGACGGGUGAGUAACACGUGGAUAACCUACCUAUAAGACUGGGAUAACUUCGGGAAACCGGAGCUAAUACCGGAUAAUAUUUUGAACCGCAUGGUUCAAAAGUGAAAGACGGUCUUGCUGUCACUUAUAGAUGGAUCCGCGCUGCAUUAGCUAGUUGGUAAGGUAACGGCUUACCAAGGCAACGAUGCAUAGCCGACCUGAGAGGGUGAUCGGCCACACUGGAACUGAGACACGGUCCAGACUCCUACGGGAGGCAGCAGUAGGGAAUCUUCCGCAAUGGGCGAAAGCCUGACGGAGCAACGCCGCGUGAGUGAUGAAGGUCUUCGGAUCGUAAAACUCUGUUAUUAGGGAAGAACAUAUGUGUAAGUAACUGUGCACAUCUUGACGGUACCUAAUCAGAAAGCCACGGCUAACUACGUGCCAGCAGCCGCGGUAAUACGUAGGUGGCAAGCGUUAUCCGGAAUUAUUGGGCGUAAAGCGCGCGUAGGCGGUUUUUUAAGUCUGAUGUGAAAGCCCACGGCUCAACCGUGGAGGGUCAUUGGAAACUGGAAAACUUGAGUGCAGAAGAGGAAAGUGGAAUUCCAUGUGUAGCGGUGAAAUGCGCAGAGAUAUGGAGGAACACCAGUGGCGAAGGCGACUUUCUGGUCUGUAACUGACGCUGAUGUGCGAAAGCGUGGGGAUCAAACAGGAUUAGAUACCCUGGUAGUCCACGCCGUAAACGAUGAGUGCUAAGUGUUAGGGGGUUUCCGCCCCUUAGUGCUGCAGCUAACGCAUUAAGCACUCCGCCUGGGGAGUACGACCGCAAGGUUGAAACUCAAAGGAAUUGACGGGGACCCGCACAAGCGGUGGAGCAUGUGGUUUAAUUCGAAGCAACGCGAAGAACCUUACCAAAUCUUGACAUCCUUUGACAACUCUAGAGAUAGAGCCUUUCCCUUCGGGGGACAAAGUGACAGGUGGUGCAUGGUUGUCGUCAGCUCGUGUCGUGAGAUGUUGGGUUAAGUCCCGCAACGAGCGCAACCCUUAAGCUUAGUUGCCAUCAUUAAGUUGGGCACUCUAAGUUGACUG